CUAUUUCUAGAGAUAGAAAGUUACUUCGGUACAUCGGUGACAGGUGGUGCAUGGUUGUCGUCAGCUCGUGUCGUGAGAUGUUGGGUUAAGUCCCGCAACGAGCGCAACCCCUAUUGUUAGUUGCCAUCAUUCAGUUGGGCACUCUAGCGAGACUGCCGGUAAUAAACCGGAGGAAGGUGGGGAUGACGUCAAAUCAUCAUGCCCCUUAUGACCUGGGCUACACACGUGCUACAAUGGUUGAUACAACGAGUUGCGAGUCGGUGACGGCGAGCUAAUCUCUUAAAGCCAAUCUCAGUUCGGAUUGUAGGCUGCAACUCGCCUACAUGAAGUCGGAAUCGCUAGUAAUCGCGGAUCAGCACGCCGCGGUGAAUACGUUCCCGGGCCUU
This 386-nucleotide ribosomal RNA is filed under the name uncultured Streptococcus sp. Its description in RNAcentral is "bacterial SSU rRNA". It matches the Rfam family "Bacterial small subunit ribosomal RNA", at positions 994 to 1382 of the family's 1533-position model. The record is from RNAcentral. Lineage: Bacteria; Bacillati; Bacillota; Bacilli; Lactobacillales; Streptococcaceae.